GUAUCGAUAGCUCAACUGGGAGAGCAACGGUCUCAUAAACCGUAGGUUGCGGGUUCGAGUCCCGCUCUUUGGCACCC
Molecule: transfer RNA, 77 nt
Filed under: Oleiagrimonas sp. MCCC 1A03011
Lineage: Bacteria; Pseudomonadati; Pseudomonadota; Gammaproteobacteria; Lysobacterales; Rhodanobacteraceae
Description: tRNA-Met
Rfam family: tRNA (bases 6-67)
About the family: Transfer RNA (tRNA) molecules are approximately 80 nucleotides in length. Their secondary structure includes four short double-helical elements and three loops (D, anti-codon, and T loops).
Source: RNAcentral